Molecule: ribosomal RNA, 613 nt
Filed under: Trichoderma sp. HT002-R2-1
Lineage: Eukaryota; Fungi; Ascomycota; Sordariomycetes; Hypocreales; Hypocreaceae
Description: eukaryotic LSU rRNA
Rfam family: 5.8S ribosomal RNA (bases 244-397)
Source: RNAcentral
GUCGUAACAAGGUCUCCGUUGGUGAACCAGCGGAGGGAUCAUUACCGAGUUUACAACUCCCAAACCCAAUGUGAACGUUACCAAACUGUUGCCUCGGCGGGAUCUCUGCCCCGGGUGCGUCGCAGCCCCGGACCAAGGCGCCCGCCGGAGGACCAACCAAAAACUCUUUUGUAUACCCCCUCGCGGGUUUUUUAUAUCUGAGCCAUCUCGGCGCCUCUCGUAGGCGUUUCGAAAAUGAAUCAAAACUUUCAACAACGGAUCUCUUGGUUCUGGCAUCGAUGAAGAACGCAGCGAAAUGCGAUAAGUAAUGUGAAUUGCAGAAUUCAGUGAAUCAUCGAAUCUUUGAACGCACAUUGCGCCCGCCAGUAUUCUGGCGGGCAUGCCUGUCCGAGCGUCAUUUCAACCCUCGAACCCCUCCGGGGGGUCGGCGUUGGGGAUCGGCCCUUUACGGGGCCGGCCCCGAAAUACAGUGGCGGUCUCGCCGCAGCCUCUCCUGCGCAGUAGUUUGCACACUCGCAUCGGGAGCGCGGCGCGUCCAUUGCCGUAAAACACCCAACUUUCUGAAAUGUUGACCUCGGAUCAGGUAGGAAUACCCGCUGAACUUAAGCAUAUC